RNAcentral lists this ribosomal RNA (484 nucleotides) under uncultured Pelotomaculum sp. Its description in RNAcentral is "bacterial SSU rRNA". It matches the Rfam family "Bacterial small subunit ribosomal RNA", at positions 901 to 1382 of the family's 1533-position model. The record is from RNAcentral. Lineage: Bacteria; Bacillati; Bacillota; Clostridia; Eubacteriales; Desulfotomaculaceae.
UCAAAGGAAUUGACGGGGCCCGCACAAGCGGUGGAGCAUGUGGUUUAAUUCGACGCAACGCGAAGAACCUUACCAGGGCUUGACAUCCCCUGACCGCGUAUGAAAGUACGUUUUCACCCUCGGGUGACAGGGAGACAGGUGGUGCAUGGUUGUCGUCAGCUCGUGUCGUGAGAUGUUGGGUUAAGUCCCCGCAACGAGCGCAACCCCUACGUUUAGUUGCUAACGCGUGAAGGCGAGCACUCUAGACGAACUGCCGUUGACAAACCGGAGGAAGGUGGGGAUGACGUCAAGUCCUCAUGGCCUUUAUGACCAGGGCUACACACGUACUACAAUGGCCGGUACAAAGGGCAGCCACUUAGCGAUAAGGAGCCAAUCCCGUAAAGCCGGUCUCAGUUCGGAUUGCAGGCUGUAACUCGCCUGCAUGAAGUCGGAAUCGCUAGUAAUCGCAGGUCAGCAUACUGCGGUGAAUACGUUCCCGGGCCUU